AUGACGUGCUUGCACUGAUUUCAACAAUGAAGCGAGUGGCGAACUGGUGAGUAACACGUGGGGAAUCUGCCCAGAAGCAGGGGAUAACACUUGGAAACAGGUGCUAAUACCGUAUAACAACAAAAUCCGCAUGGAUUUUGUUUGAAAGGUGGCUUCGGCUAUCACUUCUGGAUGAUCCCGCGGCGUAUUAGUUAGUUGGUGAGGUAAAGGCCCACCAAGACGAUGAUACGUAGCCGACCUGAGAGGGUAAUCGGCCACAUUGGGACUGAGACACGGCCCAAACUCCUACGGGAGGCAGCAGUAGGGAAUCUUCCACAAUGGACGAAAGUCUGAUGGAGCAAUGCCGCGUGAGUGAAGAAGGGUUUCGGCUCGUAAAACUCUGUUGUUAAAGAAGAACACCUUUGAGAGUAACUGUUCAAGGGUUGACGGUAUUUAACCAGAAAGCCACGGCUAACUACGUGCCAGCAGCCGCGGUAAUACGUAGGUGGCAAGCGUUGUCCGGAUUUAUUGGGCGUAAAGCGAGCGCAGGCGGUUUUUUAAGUCUGAUGUGAAAGCCUUCGGCUUAACCGGAGAAGUGCAUCGGAAACUGGGAGACUUGAGUGCAGAAGAGGACAGUGGAACUCCAUGUGUAGCGGUGGAAUGCGUAGAUAUAUGGAAGAACACCAGUGGCGAAGGCGGCUGUCUAGUCUGUAACUGACGCUGAGGCUCGAAAGCAUGGGUAGCGAACA
RNAcentral lists this ribosomal RNA (728 nucleotides) under Levilactobacillus brevis. Its description in RNAcentral is "bacterial SSU rRNA". It matches the Rfam family "Bacterial small subunit ribosomal RNA", at positions 59 to 774 of the family's 1533-position model. Lineage: Bacteria; Bacillati; Bacillota; Bacilli; Lactobacillales; Lactobacillaceae. The record is from RNAcentral.